AUUGAACGCUGGCGGCAUGCCUAACACAUGCAAGUCGAACGCGAAAGAGGGGCAACUCUCGAGUAAAGUGGCGGACGGGUGAGUAAUACGUAGGAAUCUGCCCUAGAGUGGGGGAUAACCUGCCGAAAGGCGGGCUAAUACCGCAUAAUCUCUACGGAGAAAAGGUGUCCUGUAUUUAUACAGGAUUUCGCUUUAGGAUGAGCCUACGUCGGAUUAGCUAGUUGGUAGGGUAAUGGCCUACCAAGGCGACAAUCCGUAGCUGGUCUGAGAGGACGAUCAGCCACACUGGAACUGAGACACGGUCCAGACUCCUACGGGUGGCUG
RNAcentral lists this ribosomal RNA (324 nucleotides) under uncultured Pseudomonadota bacterium. RNAcentral describes it as "bacterial SSU rRNA". It matches the Rfam family "Bacterial small subunit ribosomal RNA", at positions 30 to 351 of the family's 1533-position model. Lineage: Bacteria; Pseudomonadati; Pseudomonadota. The record is from RNAcentral.